Molecule: ribosomal RNA, 254 nt
Filed under: uncultured bacterium
Lineage: Bacteria
Description: partial 16S ribosomal RNA
Rfam family: Bacterial small subunit ribosomal RNA
Source: RNAcentral
UACGUAGGGUGCGAGCGUUAAUCGGAAUUACUGGGCGUAAAGCGUGCGCAGGCGGUUAUUUAAGUCAGGUGUGAAAGCCCUGGGCUUAACCUAGGAAUUGCGCUUGAGACUGGAUAGCUUGGAGUGCGGCAGAGGGAGGUGGAAUUCCACGUGUAGCAGUGAAAUGCGUAGAGAUGUGGAGGAACACUGAUGGCGAAGGCAGCCUCCUGGGCCAGCACUGACGCUCAUGCACGAAAGCGUGGGGAGCAAACAGG